GAAAUGCGAUAAGUAAUGUGAAUUGCAGAAUUCCGUGAAUCAUCGAAUCUUUGAACGCAGAUUGCGCCCUCUGGCAUUCCGGGGGGCAUGCCUGUCCGAGCGUCAUUACGCACCCUCAAGCCCGGCUUGAGUGAUGGGCCCCGGCGUCUCGUUCGCGAGACGGGCCCGAAAGGCAGCGGCGGCGUCGACCCGAUGAGCCCGAGCGUAUGGGGACUUCUGUCACACGUUCGCGGUGCGGACCGGCGCCUGCUUGACUUUUCUGAUUAUCCAGGUUGACCUCGGAUCAGGUAGGGAUACCCGCUGAACUUAAGC
This 312-nucleotide unclassified non-coding RNA is filed under the name plant metagenome. RNAcentral's name for it is "partial contains 5.8S ribosomal RNA, internal transcribed spacer 2, and large subunit ribosomal RNA". The stretch from base 1 to 105 matches the Rfam family "5.8S ribosomal RNA", at positions 50 to 154 of the family's 154-position model. The record is from RNAcentral.